Molecule: ribosomal RNA, 406 nt
Filed under: uncultured bacterium
Lineage: Bacteria
Description: partial 16S ribosomal RNA
Rfam family: Bacterial small subunit ribosomal RNA
Source: RNAcentral
AAUGAACGCUGGCGGCAGGCUUAACACAUGCAAGUCGAGCGAGCGGCGGACGGGCGAGCAAGGUCGGGGAAACUGCCUGAUGGAGGGGGAAAACUACGGGAAACGGUAGCUAAUACCGCUUACCAUCAGAUGUGGUCAGAUGGGAUUAGCUAGUUGGUGGGGUAGUGGCUCACCUAGGCGACGAUCCCUAGCCGGUCUGAGAGGAUGAGCGGCCACACUGGAACUGAGACACGGCCCAGACUCCUACGGGAGGCAGCAGUGGGGAAUAUUGCGCAAUGGGCGCAAGCCUGAUGCAGCCAUGCCGCGUGUGUGAAGAAGGUCUUCGGGUUGUAAAGCUCUGUCAGUGGGGAGGCGGUACUCGCAGAAGAAGCACCGGCUAACUCCGUGCCAGCAGCCGCGGUAAUUC